This is a small RNA of Acetivibrio ethanolgignens, 83 nucleotides long. It matches the Rfam family "skipping-rope RNA". From Rfam's summary of the family: Firmicutes, Fusobacteria, AlphaProteobacteria, Spirochaetes. Downstream gene NCBI's taxonomy places the organism in Bacteria, Bacillati, Bacillota, Clostridia, Acetivibrionales, Acetivibrionaceae. The record is from Rfam.
UUAUUUUGAGGUCGGAAAUGGUUCCCGACGCACUCCGUAAAAAGAGUACCUGAGAUGAUGGAUACACCGCCCAUCCUAAAUAA